RNAcentral lists this ribosomal RNA (694 nucleotides) under Botryobambusa guizhouensis. RNAcentral describes it as "Botryobambusa sp. AJD-2021a partial large subunit ribosomal RNA". It matches the Rfam family "Eukaryotic large subunit ribosomal RNA", at positions 74 to 786 of the family's 3401-position model. The record is from RNAcentral. Lineage: Eukaryota; Fungi; Ascomycota; Dothideomycetes; Botryosphaeriales; Botryosphaeriaceae.
AUUGCCUUAGUAACGGCGAGUGAAGCGGCAACAGCUCAAAUUUGAAAGCUGGUCCUUUCAGGGCCCGCGUUGUAAUUUGUAGAGGAUGAUUCGGCGAGGGCUCCCGCCUAAGUCCCCUGGAACGGGGCGUCAUAGAGGGUGAGAAUCCCGUAUGCGGUGGGUUGCCUUAGCCAUGUGAAUCUCCUUCGACGAGUCGAGUUGUUUGGGAAUGCAGCUCUAAAUGGGAGGUAAAUUUCUUCUAAAGCUAAAUACCGGCCAGAGACCGAUAGCGCACAAGUAGAGUGAUCGAAAGAUGAAAAGCACUUUGGAAAGAGAGUUAAAAAGUACGUGAAAUUGUUGAAAGGGAAGCGCUUGCAACCAGACUUGUCCGCAGUUGCUCAGCCGGUCUCCUGACCGGCGUACUCUUCUGCGGCCAGGCCAGCAUCAGUUCGGGCGGUCGGAUAAAGGCCUCGGGAAUGUAGCUCCUCUCGGGGAGUGUUAUAGCCCGGGGUGGAAUGCGGCCAGCCUGGACUGAGGAUCUCGCUUCGGCUAGGAUGCUGGCGUAAUGGUUGUAAGCGGCCCGUCUUGAAACACGGACCAAGGAGUCUAACAUCUAUGCGAGUGUUUGGGUGUCAAACCCAUACGCGUAAUGAAAGUGAACGGAGGUGGGAACCCUCACGGGUGCACCAUCGGCCGAUCCUGAUGUCUUCGGAUG